GUGAACGCUGGCGGCAGGCCUAACACAUGCAAGUCGAGCGGCAGCACAAGAGAGCUUGCUCUCUGGGUGGCGAGUGGCGGACGGGUGAGGAAUGCAUCGGAAUCUGCCCAUUUGUGGGGGAUAACCUCGGGAAACCGGGACUAAUACCGCAUACGACCUACGGGUGAAAGCAGGGGAUCUUCGGACCUUGCGCAGAUGGAUGAGCCGAUGCCGGAUUAGCUAGUUGGAGGGGUAAAGGCCCACCAAGGCGACGAUCCGUAGCUGGUCUGAGAGGAUGAUCAGCCACACUGGGACUGAGACACGGCCCAGACUCCUACGGGAGGCAGCAGUGGGGAAUAUUGGACAAUGGGCGCAAGCCUGAUCCAGCCAUGCCGCGUGUGUGAAGAAGGCCUUCGGGUUGUAAAGCACUUUUGUUGGGAAAGAAAAGCAGCCGGUUAAUACCCGGUUGUCAUGACGGUACCCAAAGAAUAAGCACCGGCUAACUUCGUG
This 489-nucleotide ribosomal RNA is filed under the name uncultured bacterium. RNAcentral's name for it is "partial 16S ribosomal RNA". It matches the Rfam family "Bacterial small subunit ribosomal RNA", at positions 29 to 507 of the family's 1533-position model. The record is from RNAcentral.